GACGAACGCUGGCGGCGUGCCUAAUACAUGCAAGUAGGACGCACAGUUUAUACCGUAGCUUGCUACACCAUAGACUGUGAGUUGCGAACGGGUGAGUAACGCGUAGGUAACCUGCCUAUUAGAGGGGGAUAACUAUUGGAAACGAUAGCUAAUACCGCAUAACAGUAUGUAACACAUGUUAGAUGCUUGAAAGAUGCAAUUGCAUCGCUAGUAGAUGGACCUGCGUUGUAUUAGCUAGUAGGUAGGGUAAUGGCCUACCUAGGCGACGAUACAUAGCCGACCUGAGAGGGUGAUCGGCCACACUGGGACUGAGACACGGCCCAGACUCCUACGGGAGGCAGCAGUAGGGAAUCUUCGGCAAUGGGGGGAACCCUGACCGAGCAACGCCGCGUGAGUGAAGAAGGUUUUCGGAUCGUAAAGCUCUGUUGUUAAGGAAGAACGAGUGUGAAAAUGGAAAGUUCAUACUGUGACGGUACUUAACCAGAAAGGGACGGCUAACUACGUGCCAGCAGCCGCGGUAAUACGUAGGUCCCGAGCGUUGUCCGGAUUUAUUGGGCGUAAAGCGAGCGCAGGCGGUUAGAAAAGUCUGAAGUGAAAGGCAGUGGCUCAACCAUUGUAGACUUUGGAAACUGUUUAACUUGAGUGCAGAAGGGGAGAGUGGAAUUCCAUGUGUAGCGGUGAAAUGCGUAGAUAUAUGGAGGAACACCGGUGGCGAAAGCGGCUCUCUGGUCUGUAACUGACGCUGAGGCUCGAAAGCGUGGGGAGCGAACAGG
RNAcentral lists this ribosomal RNA (773 nucleotides) under Streptococcus anginosus. RNAcentral's name for it is "bacterial SSU rRNA". It matches the Rfam family "Bacterial small subunit ribosomal RNA", at positions 28 to 776 of the family's 1533-position model. Lineage: Bacteria; Bacillati; Bacillota; Bacilli; Lactobacillales; Streptococcaceae. The record is from RNAcentral.